CGCGUAGGCGGUAAUGUAAGUCAGACGUGAAAUCCUUCGGCUCAACUGAAGAACUGCGUCUGAAACUGCAUGACUAGAGUGCAGAAGAGGGAAACGGAAUUCCAGGUGUAGAGGUGAAAUUCGUAGAUAUCUGGAGGAACACCGGUGGCGAAGGCGGUUUCCUGGUCUGACACUGACGCUGAGGCGCGAAAGCGUGGGGGAGCAAACAGGAUUAGAUACCCUGGUAGUCCACGCCGUAAACGGUGGGUACUGGGUGUGGGAGGUGUAAUGCCUUCUGUGCCGAAGCUAACGCGUUAAGUACCCCGCCUGGGGAGUACGGCCGCAAGGUUGAA
This 332-nucleotide ribosomal RNA is filed under the name uncultured bacterium. Its description in RNAcentral is "bacterial SSU rRNA". It matches the Rfam family "Bacterial small subunit ribosomal RNA", at positions 568 to 898 of the family's 1533-position model. The record is from RNAcentral.